CCGGGGAGGGUCAUUGGAAACUGGGGAACUUGAGUGCAGAAGAGGAGAGUGGAAUUUCCACGUGUAGCGGUGAAAUGCGUAGAGAUGUGGAGGAACACCAGUGGCGAAGGCGACUCUCUGGUCUGUAACUGACGCUGAGGAGCGAAAGCGUGGGGAGCGAACAGGAUUAGAUACCCUGGUAGUCCACGCCGUAAACGAUGAGUGCUAAGUGUUAGGGGGUUUCCGCCCCUUAGUGCUGCAGCUAACGCAUUAAGCACUCCGCCUGGGGAGUACGGUCGCAAGACUGAAACUCAAAGGAAUUGACGGGGGCCCGCACAAGCGGUGGAGCAUGUGGUUUAAUUCGAAGCAACGCGAAGAACCUUACCAGGUCUUGACAUCCUCUGACAAUCCUAGAGAUAGGACGUCCCCUUCGGGGGCAGAGUGACAGGUGGUGCAUGGUU
This 440-nucleotide ribosomal RNA is filed under the name Bacillus sp. (in: firmicutes). RNAcentral describes it as "bacterial SSU rRNA". It matches the Rfam family "Bacterial small subunit ribosomal RNA", at positions 613 to 1050 of the family's 1533-position model. Lineage: Bacteria; Bacillati; Bacillota; Bacilli; Caryophanales; Bacillaceae. The record is from RNAcentral.